GCACUGCUGAUGAGUCCCACAACAGGACGAAACGGCCGUCGAGUGC
This 46-nucleotide non-coding RNA is filed under the name Schistosoma curassoni. The record is from RNAcentral. Lineage: Eukaryota; Metazoa; Platyhelminthes; Trematoda; Strigeidida; Schistosomatidae.